UACGGGGGGGGUAAGCGUUGUUCGGAAUUAUUGGGCGUAAAGGGCUUGUAGGCGGUUUGUCGCGUCGGGGGUGAAAACUCAGGGCUUAACCCUGAGCCUGCUUCCGAUACGGGCAGACUAGAGGUAUGCAGGGGAGAAUGGAAUUCCUGGUGUAGCGGUGAAAUGCGCAGAUAUCAGGAGGAACACCGGUGGCGAAGGCGGUUCUCUGGGCAUUACCUGACGCUGAGGAGCGAAAGUGUGGGGAGCAAACAGG
Molecule: ribosomal RNA, 253 nt
Filed under: uncultured bacterium
Lineage: Bacteria
Description: partial 16S ribosomal RNA
Rfam family: Bacterial small subunit ribosomal RNA
Source: RNAcentral